GUGUAAGUAUUUGAUACACAGUAUUAUAUAUGUGACAAAAUACAGCCUUCCAAGCUGAGGGUCGCGGGUUUGAGCCCCGUCUUCCGCU
Molecule: transfer RNA, 88 nt
Filed under: Caudoviricetes sp.
Lineage: Duplodnaviria; Heunggongvirae; Uroviricota; Caudoviricetes
Description: tRNA-Gly
Source: RNAcentral